UUUUCCUACGGGGGGCAGCAGUGAGGAAUAUUGGUCAAUGGGCGAGAGCCUGAACCAGCCAAGUCGCGUGAGGGAGUACUGCCCUAUGGGUUGUAAACCUCUUUUGUCGGGGAGCAAAAGCCGGACGUGUCCGUCUGUGAGAGUACCCGAAGAAAAAGCAUCGGCUAACUCCGUGCCAGCAGCCGCGGUAAUACGGAGGAUGCGAGCGUUAUCCGGAUUUUUUGGGUUUAAAGGGUGCGCAGGCGGAUUUUUAAGUCAGCGGUCCAAUCGUGGGGCUCAACCCACUCCAGCCGUUUAAACUGGGG
Molecule: ribosomal RNA, 305 nt
Filed under: uncultured bacterium
Lineage: Bacteria
Description: bacterial SSU rRNA
Rfam family: Bacterial small subunit ribosomal RNA
Source: RNAcentral